This 297-nucleotide ribosomal RNA is filed under the name Salinivibrio sp. MA351. RNAcentral's name for it is "partial 23S ribosomal RNA". It matches the Rfam family "Bacterial large subunit ribosomal RNA", at positions 2646 to 2925 of the family's 2925-position model. RNAcentral also lists the same sequence under 1 other name. Lineage: Bacteria; Pseudomonadati; Pseudomonadota; Gammaproteobacteria; Vibrionales; Vibrionaceae. The record is from RNAcentral.
CGUGGGCGUUGGAUGAUUGAGGGGAGCUGCUCCUAGUACGAGAGGACCGGAGUGGACGAACCGCUGGUGUUCGGGUUGUGUCGCCAGACGCAUUGCCCGGUAGCUAAGUUCGGCACAGAUAAGCGCUGAAAGCAUCUAAGCGCGAAGCUGGCCCCGAGAUGAGUCAUCCCUAGAGCUUCGAGCUCUCUAAAGGGUUGUYSUAGACKASRACGUUGAUAGGCAGGGUGUGUAAGCGCUGUGAGGCGUUGAGCUAACCUGUACUAAUUGCCCGUGCGGCUUAACCAUACAACACCCAAG